CAUUAUUGAAUGUUGGGUCUGCGUCUUGUGAAACACCGAGCGCGCCCACACUCUUUACCACACACACUUGUGAACCCUUUUCGAGCUGCCCUCUUCGUGAUGGGCGGCGAGAAGCACUUGUGAUUUUAAACCAGUCUAGGAUGUCAAUCCAAUUGAUAACUACAAACAACUAUAAACGGUGGAUCUCUUGGCUCUCGUAUCGAUGAAGAACGCAGCGAAACGCGAAAUGUAAUGUGAAUUGCAGAAUUCAGUGAAUCAUCGAAUCUUUGAACGCACCUUGCGCUCUCGGGUUAUUCCCGUGAGCAUGCUUGUUUGAGUGUCGCGAAACUCUCAACCCCGCCCUCUCUUCAUUGACUGGGUUGCCUGGGCUUGGAUCUUGGUCCUUGCUGGUGCUUUGCGCCCAGCUGGACUGAAAUGCAACAAGCUGAAUCGAUACACGUGCGGCUUGACCUGUUGUUGUAAGCAAUUUACAAUGGGGACGCACGAGGAUUGAACGAGCUUCUCAAAUGCUUUACCGCUUUGUGGACCCCUCUCGAGGGCGACCUUAGUGCAUGCUGACCUCAAAUCAAGUAGGACUACCC
This 581-nucleotide ribosomal RNA is filed under the name uncultured Basidiomycota. Its description in RNAcentral is "eukaryotic LSU rRNA". The stretch from base 168 to 322 matches the Rfam family "5.8S ribosomal RNA". Lineage: Eukaryota; Fungi; Basidiomycota. The record is from RNAcentral.